AGAGUUUGAUCCUGGCUCAGGAUGAACGCUAGCGGCAGGCCUAACACAUGCAAGUCGAGGGGCAUCACGAGGUAGCAAUACUUUGGUGGCGACCGGCGCACGGGUGCGUAACGCGUAUGUAACCUACCUAUAACAGGGGCAUAACACUGAGAAAUUGGUACUAAUUCCCCAUAAUAUUCGGAGAGGCAUCUCUCCGGGUUGAAAACUCCGGUGGUUAUAGAUGGACAUGCGUUGUAUUAGCUAGUUGGUGAGGUAACGGCUCACCAAGGCAACGAUACAUAGGGGGACUGAGAGGUUAACCCCCCACACUGGUACUGAGACACGGACCAGACUCCUACGGGAGGCAGCAGUGAGGAAUAUUGGUCAAUGGACGCAAGUCUGAACCAGCCAUGCCGCGUGCAGGAAGACGGCUCUAUGAGUUGUAAACUGCUUUUGUACGAGGGUAAACUCACCUACGUGUAGGUGACUGAAAGUAUCGUACGAAUAAGGAUCGGCUAACUCCGUGCCAGCAGCCGCGGUAAUACGGAGGAUUCAAGCGUUAUCCGGAUUUAUUGGGUUUAAAGGGUGCGUAGGCGGUUUGAUAAGUUAGAGGUGAAAUCCCGGGGCUUAACUCCGGAACUGCCUCUAAUACUGUUAGACUAGAGAGUAGUUGCGGUAGGCGGAAUGUAUGGUGUAGCGGUGAAAUGCUUAGAGAUCAUACAGAACACCGAUUGCGAAGGCAGCUUACCAAACUAUAUCUGACGUUGAGGCACGAAAGCGUGGGGAGCAAACAGGAUUAGAUACCCUGGUAGUCCACGCAGUAAACGAUGAUAACUCGUUGUCGGCGAUACACAGUCGGUGACUAAGCGAAAGCGAUAAGUUAUCCACCUGGGGAGUACGUUCGCAAGAAUGAAACUCAAAGGAAUUGACGGGGGCCCGCACAAGCGGAGGAACAUGUGGUUUAAUUCGAUGAUACGCGAGGA
Molecule: ribosomal RNA, 962 nt
Filed under: Alistipes onderdonkii
Lineage: Bacteria; Pseudomonadati; Bacteroidota; Bacteroidia; Bacteroidales; Rikenellaceae
Description: bacterial SSU rRNA
Rfam family: Bacterial small subunit ribosomal RNA
Source: RNAcentral